UGGUGUAUAGCCAAAAUGGAAAGGCACUGGCUUUUGAUGUCAUCAUAUAAAGGUUCGAAUCCUUUUACACCAG
This 73-nucleotide transfer RNA is filed under the name Asparagopsis taxiformis. RNAcentral describes it as "tRNA-Gln". It matches the Rfam family "tRNA". Rfam says of the family: Transfer RNA (tRNA) molecules are approximately 80 nucleotides in length. Their secondary structure includes four short double-helical elements and three loops (D, anti-codon, and T loops). Lineage: Eukaryota; Rhodophyta; Florideophyceae; Bonnemaisoniales; Bonnemaisoniaceae. The record is from RNAcentral.